Molecule: long non-coding RNA, 1123 nt
Organism: Dromaius novaehollandiae (emu)
Lineage: Eukaryota; Metazoa; Chordata; Aves; Casuariiformes; Dromaiidae
Exons: 3
Source: RefSeq, a predicted model, not a curated record
AACCUCUGACAAGAAACCAUUGGAGUGGUAAGAAACUGAGACUCGGGCAGUAACGAAGGUGCAGUGAGAUUCGCUUGCUAUGACUACACUGUAUAGCCAUCUGUGGCGGACAGAUGAGUGAACUUUUGCCUUAAACAUUUCUUGGUACAUAAGGUGCAAGCAAACCAAAACCCCGAACAAGCCAUCUGUCCCCGGUGGAAACAGGACUAAGCUGCUGCGACCCCUGAAAUGGUCUUCCUGCGACCACCCAGGACACACCGAGCCUGUGCUGAACCAGACCACGAUCGGGCAGAGACUUUGGGACCUGGACUGUAAAUUAUUGCCGAUUAGCACAACUUCUAUAAAGCUUGCUUAGCAUGAGUAGCUAAAUUUGCUGAAGCCUUAGGCCUCACUCUCUAGUUCAGUGAGAAAGGGCCCCAGAGCUGGUGCAGACUGGAAUGAUAUGGGAGUUAGCAGCAGUUUGCAUUCCUGUGCACUGCUGAAACUGUUAAUUGCUGGAGUUGCCACCUCUUUGUCAGGACCUUGAGAGACAAUGGCGGGAUCCGAGGAAUGAAGACACACCUGUCAGCAGAAACGGCAACAGAAAACGGCCUACCUAGGAACAGCGAUGAGACCCAAUAAGGAGCAGAAGACCCCAGACCUAAAUAUUACUAUUGGUCCAAACUAAUGUGUGAAGGGUGGGAAACUUAAUUUGAAAAAGCUAUAAUUGCCCAGGGAUUUCUUUGUUCGGGGUCCCUCUUUGGAGGCACCCAACUGGAGCUGUAACUACUGCACGGGUGUCAUUGCCUUGAUUUGGCUCCGAACUUUUCAGCAGGAACCUAGGGUCAGGCGCUGCUCAAGUUGUAAUUACUGCACGUGCAUCGCUAAAAUUUACACCCAGGGUGAAGAGUACACCCACCACCAAACGGGACCCCCCCACCGCCGAGACUCCCAAAGGAAGAGGACCAAGGGGAUGCCGCUGGAUCCACGGAAUUUCAUAGCAUUCAAACCAUACGAAUAAGCACUGGAUGGACAUAUAACUCAUGUGGAGAAGGAGAAGACAUGCAAGACUUCAAGAGAAGGAAAUACUUGAUAGAAGAUAACUAAGAAAGAAAGAAGGAAUGAGACAAAGAAAGAAAAAGAG